GGUUAAGCUAAUAAGAGCACACGGAGGAUGCCUAGGCGCCAGGAGCCGACGAAGGACGUGGCGAACAACGAAACUGCCUCGGGGAGCUGUAAGCAAGCUUUGAUCCGGGGGUGUCCGAAUGGGGAAACCCAGCUGUGGUAAUUCGCAGUUACUCACACCUGAAUACAUAGGGUGUGCAGAGGCAGACCAGGGGAACUGAAACAUCUAAGUACCCUGAGGAAGAGAAAACAAUAGUGAUUCCGUCAGUAGCGGCGAGCGAACGCGGAACAGCCUAAACCAAGGGGCUUGCCCCUUGGGGUUGUGGGACGUCUCACAUGGAGUUACAAAGGAAUAUGGUAGGUGAAGAGGUCUGGAAAGGCCCGCGAUAGAGGUAAAAGCCCUGUAACCUAAACUGUGUUCUCUCCGAGACGGAUCCCGAGUAGUGCGGGGCACGUGAAACCCCGUAUGAAUCCAGCAGGACCAUCUGCUAAGGCUAAAUACUACCUGGCGACCGAUAGUGAAACAGUACCGUGAGGGAAAGGUGAAAAGCACCCCGGAAGGGGAGUGAAAUAGAACCUGAAACCGUGUGCUUACAAAAAGUCAGAGCCCGUUUUAGGGGUGAUGGCGUGCCUUUUGUAGAAUGAACCGGCGAGUUACGUUUAACAUGCAAGGUUAAGGUGAGAAGCCGGAGCCGCAGCGAAAGCGAGUCUGAAUAGGGCGACUAAGUAUGUGGACGUAGACCCGAAACCGUGUGAUCUACCCCUGUCCAGGGUGAAGGUGCGGUAACACGCACUGGAGGCCCGAACCCACGUAUGUUGAAAAAUACGGGGAUGAGGUGGGGGUAGCGGAGAAAUUCCAAUCGAACUCGGAGAUAGCUGGUUCUCCCCGAAAUAGCUUUAGGGCUAGCCUCGGUGAAUGGAGUGGUGGAGGUAGAGCACUGAUUGGGUGCGGGGCCCGCAAGGGUUACCAAGCUCAGUCAAACUCCGAAUGCCAUUUACUUCUUGCCGGGAGUCAGACAGUGAGUGCUAAGAUCCAUUGUCAAAAGGGAAACAGCCCAGACCAUCAGCUAAGGUCCCCAAGUGUGUGUUAAGUGGGAAAGGAUGUGGAGUUGCACAGACAACCAGGAUGUUGGCUUAGAAGCAGCCACCAUUGAAAGAGUGCGUAAUAGCUCACUGGUCGAGUGACUCUGCGCCGAAAAUGUAACGGGGCUAAACACACCACCGAAGCUAUGGCUAGAUGCUUUGCAUCUGGGGUAGGGGAGCGUUGUAUGUGGGUUGAAGGUGUACCGUAAGGAGCGCUGGACAGCAUACAAGUGAGAAUGCCGGUAUGAGUAACGAAAAGAUCAGUGAGAAUCUGAUCCGCCGAAAGCCCAAGGUUUCCUGAGGAAGGCUCGUCCGCUCAGGGUAAGUCGGGACCUAAGGCGAGGCCGAAAGGCGUAGUCGAAGGACAACAGUUUGAAAUUACUGUACCACCGUAAUCCGCUAUGAGCGAUGGGGUGACGCAGGAGGGUAGUGACGCGGACUGAUGGAUGUCCGUCUAAGCAGUGAGGCUGGUGUGUAGGCAAAUCCGCACAUCGUAAGGCUGGGCUGUGAUGGGGAGCGAAAAUUAUAGUAGCGAAGGUCAUGAUCUCACACUGCCAAGAAAAGCCUCUAGUCAGGAGAAGGUGCCCGUACCGCAAACCGACACAGGUAGGCGAGAAGAGAAUUCUAAGGCGCGCGGAAGAACUCUCGUUAAGGAACUCGGCAAAAUGACCCCGUAACUUCGGGAGAAGGGGUGCCUCGGUAGGGUGAAUAGCCCGAGGGGGCCGCAGUGAAAAGGCCCAAGCGACUGUUUAGCAAAAACACAGGUCUGUGCGAAGCCGCAAGGCGAAGUAUACGGGCUGACGCCUGCCCGGUGCUGGAAGGUUAAGGGGAGUGGUUAGGGGCAACCCGAAGCUAUGAACCGAAGCCCCAGUAAACGGCGGCCGUAACUAUAACGGUCCUAAGGUAGCGAAAUUCCUUGUCAGGUAAAUUCUGACCCGCACGAAUGGCGUAACGACUUGGGCGCUGUCUCAACGAGAGAUCCGGUGAAAUUUUAAUACCUGUGAAGAUGCAGGUUACCCGCGACAAGACGGAAAGACCCCAUGGAGCUUUACUGCAGCUUGAUAUUGAAUUUGGGUACGAUCUGUACAGGAUAGGUGGGAGCCGUAGAGGCAGGAGCGCAAGCUUCUGCGGAGGCGCCGUUGGGAUACCACCCUGAUCGUAUCUAGGUUCUAACCUGGUACCCUAAGCGGGUACGGGGACCGUGUCAGGCGGGCAGUUUGACUGGGGCGGUCGCCUCCUAAAGAGUAACGGAGGCGUUCAAAGGUUCCCUCAGAAUGGUUGGAAAUCAUUCGAAGAGUGCAAAGGCAUAAGGGAGCUUGACUGCGAGACCUACAAGUCGAGCAGGGACGAAAGUCGGACUUAGUGAUCCGGUGGUACCGCAUGGAAGGGCCAUCGCUCAACGGAUAAAAGCUACCCUGGGGAUAACAGGCUUAUCUCCCCCAAGAGUCCACAUCGACGGGGAGGUUUGGCACCUCGAUGUCGGCUCAUCGCAUCCUGGGGCUGAAGUAGGUCCCAAGGGUUGGGCUGUUCGCCCAUUAAAGCGGUACGCGAGCUGGGUUCAGAACGUCGUGAGACAGUUCGGUCCCUAUCUGUCGUGGGCGCAGGAAAUUUGAGAGGAGCUGUCCUUAGUACGAGAGGACCGGGAUGGACGUACCGCUGGUGCACCAGUUGUUUCGCCAGAAGCAUGGCUGGGUAGCUACGUACGGACGGGAUAAGCGCUGAAAGCAUCUAAGCGUGAAGCCCCCCUCAAGAUGAGAUUUCCCAAUACGUAAGACCCCUUGAAGACGACGAGGUAGAUAGGUUGGAGGUGGAAGUGCAGUAAUGCAUGGAGCUGACCAAUACUAAUCGGUCGAGGGCUUAUCCAA
Molecule: ribosomal RNA, 2926 nt
Filed under: Paenibacillus tianjinensis
Lineage: Bacteria; Bacillati; Bacillota; Bacilli; Caryophanales; Paenibacillaceae
Description: Paenibacillus sp. TB2019 23S ribosomal RNA
Rfam family: Bacterial large subunit ribosomal RNA
Source: RNAcentral